This 997-nucleotide ribosomal RNA is filed under the name uncultured bacterium. Its description in RNAcentral is "bacterial SSU rRNA". It matches the Rfam family "Bacterial small subunit ribosomal RNA", at positions 34 to 1026 of the family's 1533-position model. The record is from RNAcentral.
CGGAAUGGCGGCAGCUACACAUGCAGUCGAGCGGUAGCAGGAGGUGCUUGCACCUCGCUGACGAGCGGCGGACGGGUGAGUAACGCGUAGGAAUCCACCUGUUAGUGGGGGAUAGCCCAGGGAAACUUGGAUUAAUACCGCAUACGCCCUACGGGGGAAAGUGGGGGAUCUUCGGACCUCACGCUAACAGAUGAGCCUGCGUAGGAUUAGCUGGUUGGUGGGGUAAAGGCCCACCAAGGCGACGAUCCUUAGCUGGUCUGAGAGGAUGAUCAGCCACACUGAACUGAGACACGGUCCAGACUCCUACGGGAGGCAGCAGUGGGGAAUAUUGGACAAUGGGCGAAAGCCUGAUCCAGCCAUGCCGCGUGUGUGAAGAAGGUCUUCGGAUUGUAAAGCACUUUAAGUUGGGAGGAAGGGCAGUAAGUUAAUACCUUGCUGUUUUGACGUUACCGACAGAAUAAGCACCGGCUAACUUCGUGCCAGCAGCCGCGGUAAUACGAAGGGUGCAAGCGUUAAUCGGAAUUACUGGGCGUAAAGCGCGCGUAGGUGGUUCAGCAAGUUGGAUGUGAAAGCCCCGGGCUCAACCUGGGAACUGCAUCCAAAACUACUGAGCUAGAGUACGGUAGAGGGUGGUGGAAUUUCCUGUGUAGCGGUGAAAUGCGUAGAUAUAGGAAGGAACACCAGUGGCGAAGGCGACCACCUGGACUGAUACUGACACUGAGGUGCGAAAGCGUGGGGAGCAAACAGGAUUAGAUACCCUGCUAGUCCACGCCGUAAACGAUGUCAACUAGCUGUUGGGUUCCUUGAGAACUUAGUAGCGCAGCUAACGCGAUAAGUUGAUCGCCUGGGGAGUACGGCCGCAAGGUUAAAACUCAAAUGAAUUGACGGGGGCCCGCACAAGCGGUGGAGCAUGUGUUUAUUCGAAGCAACGCGAAGAACCUUACCUGGCCUUGACAUGCUGAGAACUUUCCAGGAGAUGGAUUGGUGCCUUCAGGAA